GCGUGGGAGAAGGGUUGCUCGUAAUCUUGGGAGAGACGUCCAGAAUAGCACCGGUAACUCUGCCACGCCCGUACAGGUGCAGCUUACCGGAUUUACUGGGUUUAGCGUAGGUUUAAGUCGGUGAAAGCUCUUCUACAAGAAUGCACUGUUCUGAGAUAGAGGUGCGGAAUAGAUGUACGGUAAAUGCAUAAUAUCUUAAACACCGUGCAAGGGCUGCCGUGGGGAUCAAACAGGAUUAGAUACCCUGGUAGUCCACGCCCUAACGAUGUACUUGUGUUUGCAAGAAAGCGAUAAGACACCUGGGGUCGCCCGCAAGGGAAAAAGGAUGACGGGCGCAAGCGGUGGAUGGGUUAAUUCAUCAGAACUCGUUGAAAGGAGGUGAUGC
This 385-nucleotide ribosomal RNA is filed under the name uncultured bacterium. RNAcentral's name for it is "partial 16S ribosomal RNA". The record is from RNAcentral.